Long non-coding RNA from Lolium rigidum, 972 nucleotides. RefSeq lists it as uncharacterized. The transcript has 3 exons. NCBI's taxonomy places the organism in Eukaryota, Viridiplantae, Streptophyta, Magnoliopsida, Poales, Poaceae. The record is from RefSeq and is a predicted model, not a curated record.
CCCCAGGUUUGACAUCUGUGUGUCUUAUAAAGGCAAAAUUUUCAUUCUGUGGGAGGCAACGUUCCCGUCGACAGCGAGACGUCUGUGGUGACUUCAUCAAUUUCAAGAUCCAAUCCACCGGCUCAGUCUUCCAAAGGUGCUAAUAGAGAUAGUGUGUGCGUGUGUGUUCAUAAGGUUGAAUGUAUGCGCGUGUAUGUGAGCGACUAUAUUUAUGAUGUGUUUUUGAAAAAACACAAUAACACUGGUAUGUAGAAUCAAAUAAAUCAAGGCCCAGACUACUAUUUAUGGGCCAAAACAGCGACUACCAAUUUAGGCACAAUAAAAGCCCGUGAGUAUAUUAAUACUAGGUAUACCAGUCUAGCCGGGUUUAGUUUAUCCAGCUUAUUAUACAUAUUAUAAUCUAAAUGGUGUAUUUCAUGUUAUUUCACCUAUUUUCCAUCACCAUACUAGCCCCACGCCGCGCCCAUCAUUGCUAGUUAGUUAACAGCCCAACGUGUUUGGGCUUCAAGCAUUUACCGUUCACUUUCCUUCUUCGUUCUCCUUCCAGGUCGUGGGGCGGCGAAACUCAUCUGCUCGCCAACUAUCCUCCGCCUCCGCAGCUGUUCUUGGUCCGCCCGCGCCGCCAUUCUUCGUACCCCUGCGACGGCGAAUCGCACUCCGGCAUGGACAGCUCAAUUAGCUCCGCCUGUGCCGCCAUUGUUGGUCAAUGCGUUACUCUCCAUUUCUAGGAGCCACUAAUUUAUGUGGAGGCGUCCAAUUCUUCGCGUGCAGAUGGUGGAGGUGUUGUCAGUCAAAGUGCUGGAAGUUAGAUUUGUUCGAUUGAUCCAAGGAGUACUGCUGGAAUUUUUGGGCAUUUGGCCUUUGGCCGAUGGUCCAUUAUCAAAUUCUGAAACUCACAUGGUCCAUUCCAAAAAUCGGUGGCAGCAUUAGUGGGGGAUAAAGUUUAGUUCCACAUUGCUAGUUGGGAGAGAG